GAAAGGCCUAUAUGUUGAGCUAGCAGCUCUCUAGUGUUGCUAAUGAAUAAUUAAAAAUAACAGUCUUUAUGUGAGGCUUGACAGUAUACAUGUCCUUUAAGUAUAUCCUGCUUUGUAAGGAACUUGGCAAAAUGACAGCCCAAGAAAGGCAUCCCACUGCAUCCUGUGCAGACACAGCGAGCGCUCUGGAGGAUGACGGUGAUGUACUCAAGAUGGUUGUGAAAGAAAAGGGCAAUCAAUUCAGUCCUUUUCUUUAUUUGCUUCUGCAUAGUGAGCUGCUACUAUCCCAGGACCUUAUCUGUUUCCAGGAAAGAGGGUAUGUGGUUCCCUUUGGCUGUUGACUGAAAGGCAUUUGUAUCUUCUCUGAACCACUGCCACUGAGAACCCUUACAUCUGUGAUAUGCUCAGGGUUCACCCUCUGGUUUCCUGGGAGCUCCUGUAAAGUGCUAUAUAAAGGAGCACACCCCUGGACACAGACUGAAACUCACUUGUUGAUCCAUGGAUAUUUGCUUCUGCUCCCAUCACCCUUUCACAAUGAAUGUAUACUGCUCUGGAAUAUGCAAAUAUAUAUUUUUUUCUGUUGGUCCAGCAUAUUCACUGUGGUUUUUUUAGAUGUCCUCCUCAGAUUUCAAGACCAAAAUCAUUGUAAGAAAAUUGAGAGUUACAAAAACUUUAAAAACUGGAUCCAUGCAGCCUAAUUUGCAACCUGUUUAUGCUUACUUAUACGUGCAUGAAUGGUACAAUCUAUUUGAAAUAUGAUUUCUAAAGAAAAUUCUGCUAGAAUUCCUCAAAGGAGUCCUAUUGAAUUUAUGACCUGAAAAUCAACAUGGGACCAAAUCAUGCUAUAAAGCUGUUGCAUCCUGGGAUCUCCUUGGAAGUGCAAAAUGUCCAAAAGAAUGACC
This is a long non-coding RNA of Cyanistes caeruleus (blue tit), 902 nucleotides long. Lineage: Eukaryota; Metazoa; Chordata; Aves; Passeriformes; Paridae. The record is from Ensembl.